UACGUAGGGUGCAAGCGUUGUCCGGAAUUAUUGGGCGUAAAGAGCUCGUAGGCGGCUUGUUGCGUCGUCCGUGAAAACCCGUGGCUCAACUGCGGGCUUGCGGACGAUACGGGCAGGCUGGAGUUCGGUAGGGGAGACUGGAAUUCCUGGUGUAGCGGUGGAAUGCGCAGAUAUCAGGAGGAACACCGGUGGCGAAGGCGGGUCUCUGGGCAGUAACUGACGCUGAGGAGCGAAAGCGUGGGGAGCGAACAGG
Molecule: ribosomal RNA, 253 nt
Filed under: uncultured bacterium
Lineage: Bacteria
Description: partial 16S ribosomal RNA
Rfam family: Bacterial small subunit ribosomal RNA
Source: RNAcentral